RNAcentral lists this ribosomal RNA (286 nucleotides) under uncultured Comamonadaceae bacterium. RNAcentral's name for it is "partial 16S ribosomal RNA". It matches the Rfam family "Bacterial small subunit ribosomal RNA", at positions 1 to 296 of the family's 1533-position model. Lineage: Bacteria; Pseudomonadati; Pseudomonadota; Betaproteobacteria; Burkholderiales; Comamonadaceae. The record is from RNAcentral.
CUCGGAGUUUGAUCCUGGCUCAGAUUGAACGCUGGCGGAAUGCUUUACACAUGCAAGUCGAACGGUAGAGGGGGCAACCCCUUGAGAGUGGCGAACGGGUGAGUAAUAUAUCGGAACGUGCCCAGUCGUGGGGGAUAACGUAGCGAAAGUUACGCUAAUACCGCAUACGAUCUACGGAUGAAACGCGGGGACUCGCAAGAGCCUCGCGCGAUUGGAGCGGCCGAUAUCAGAUUAGGUAGUUGGUGGGUAAAGGCUCACCAAGCCAACGAUCUGUAGCUGGUCUGAG